This 1112-nucleotide ribosomal RNA is filed under the name Rhodococcus sp. YIM 100121. RNAcentral's name for it is "bacterial SSU rRNA". It matches the Rfam family "Bacterial small subunit ribosomal RNA", at positions 30 to 1157 of the family's 1533-position model. Lineage: Bacteria; Bacillati; Actinomycetota; Actinomycetes; Mycobacteriales; Nocardiaceae. The record is from RNAcentral.
CAGGGCGGCGGCGUGCUUACCAUGCAGUCGAACGAUGAUGCCCAGCUUGCUGGGCGGAUUAGUGGCGAACGGGUGAGUAACACGUGGGUGAUCUGCCCUGCACUUCGGGAUAAGCCUGGGAAACUGGGUCUAAUACCGGAUAUGACCACAGGAUGCAUGUUUUGUGGUGGAAAGGUUUACUGGUGCAGGAUGAGCCCGCGGCCUAUCAGCUUGUUGGUGGGGUAAUGGCCUACCAAGGCGACGACGGGUAGCCGGCCUGAGAGGGCGACCGGCCACACUGGGACUGAGACACGGCCCAGACUCCUACGGGAGGCAGCAGUGGGGAAUAUUGCACAAUGGGCGAAAGCCUGAUGCAGCGACGCCGCGUGAGGGAUGACGGCCUUCGGGUUGUAAACCUCUUUCAGCAGGGACGAAGCGCAAGUGACUGUACCUGCAGAAGAAGCACCGGCUAACUACGUGCCAGCAGCCGCGGUAAUACGUAGGGUGCGAGCGUUGUCCGGAAUUACUGGGCGUAAAGAGUUCGUAGGCGGUUUGUCGCGUCGUGUGUGAAAUCCCGCAGCUCAACUGCGGGCUUGCAGGCGAUACGGGCAGACUUGAGUACUGCAGGGGAGACUGGAAUUCCUGGUGUAGCGGUGAAAUGCGCAGAUAUCAGGAGGAACACCGGUGGCGAAGGCGGGUCUCUGGGCAGUAACUGACGCUGAGGAACGAAAGCGUGGGGUAGCGAACAGGAUUAGAUACCCUGGUAGUCCACGCCGUAAACGGUGGGCGCUAGGUGUGGGUUUCCUUCCACGGGAUCCGUGCCGUAGCUAACGCAUUAAGCGCCCCGCCUGGGGAGUACGGCCGCAAGGCUAAAACUCAAAGGAAUUGACGGGGGCCCGCACAAGCGGCGGAGCAUGUGGAUUAAUUCGAUGCAACGCGAAGAACCCUUACCUGGGUUUGACAUAUACCGGGACGACUGCAGAGAUGUGGUUUCCCUUGGUGGUCGGUAUACAGGUGGUGCAUGGGCUGUCGUCAGCUCGUGUCGUGAGAUGUUGGGUAGUCCCGCACGAGCGCACCUUGUUCUUAUUGUUUGCAGCACGUAAUGGUGGGGGACCUCGUAAGAAAGACUGCCG